This 78-nucleotide transfer RNA is filed under the name Bacteroidota bacterium. RNAcentral describes it as "tRNA-Val". It matches the Rfam family "tRNA". From Rfam's summary of the family: Transfer RNA (tRNA) molecules are approximately 80 nucleotides in length. Their secondary structure includes four short double-helical elements and three loops (D, anti-codon, and T loops). Lineage: Bacteria; Pseudomonadati; Bacteroidota. The record is from RNAcentral. RNAcentral also lists the same sequence under 6 other names.
GGGCGAUUAGCUCAGCUGGUUCAGAGCACCUGCCUUACAAGCAGGGGGUCACUGGUUCGAAUCCAGUAUCGCCCACCA